UCAAGUUGCAGCGCCGCACAACGAGUACGGCGACGAGAGAGAAGCCGCACCCGAAAAACCGAGGAAGAAAACACUCCCCUCUCCCUCCCAGCUCAAAAUUUUCCCCUCCACCCCCACUCCAAACCUAGGCUUCCCGGCGCCGCGCUCCACCCCGCCCCUCCGCUGUCGGUCCCCUAGCUCCUCGCUGCUCGUAGUCUGCUGCUGGGCUUCGGGGAGCACCCACCUAGGCUUCCCGGUGCCGGCGCGCCCCGCCACGGCCGGGCCCCCUACCUCCCCGCCACUCGUAGGCUGCUGCCCGGCUUCGAGGAGCGCCAACCUAGGCUUCCCGGCCCCGCGCCCCCGCGGCCAGUCCUCUCCCUCCCCCAUCACUCAUAGUCUGCUGCCCGUCUUCGGCGGCGGCGUUCCUCGUGGGCAGUGGAGUGGAGAUCCACACGGGCGUUGGUUGGUUUUCUGUCCAUUUUUGUUGUGCUUUUGAGAUAGCACCUAGAAAUCCUGUGCAGUUUGCCCACCAACACAAAAAAAAUCCUGAGCAGUUAUAUCGACAUUUCUUCAUUCACAUGAAAUGUCACUUCUUAGUAGAUUCUUCUACAAGAGGCCUCCUGAUGGACUACUGGAGUUUCUUGACAGGAUCUAUGUUUUUGAUUCAUGCUUCAGCACUGAAGUUUUGCCUCAGGGAAUGUACCCAGUGUAUUUAAUUGGGAUUCUUACAGAGUUGCAUGAAGAGCAUGUAGAAUCCUCAUUUCUGGCAAUUAACUUCAGAGAUGGAGAUAAGAGAAGCCAGCUUGCUGAUAUACUACGUGAAUACAACAUUCCAGUCAUUGAUUACCCCCGUCAUUUUGAGGGUUGUCCUGUGCUUCCUUUAUCUCUUAUUCAGCAUUUCCUUCGUGUAUGUGAGCACUGGUUAUCCAGUGGGACCAAUCAGAACAUUAUAUUACUCCAUUGUGAAAGAGGGGCGUGGCCUUUGUUGGCUUUUCUUUUAUCUUGUCUUCUCAUCUACAAGAAACUGAACAGUGCUGAGCAUAAAACUCUGGACAUUAUUUACCGUGAGGCACCUAAAGGGUUCCUACAGCUUUUUUCUGCCCUUAAUCCAAUGCCAUCUCAACUCCGUUACAUGCAGUAUGUAGCCAGAAGAAAUAUAUCUCCACAGUGGCCUCCAAUGGAAAGAUCACUCUCUUUGGAUUGCCUGAUUCUUCGAGCUAUUCCAAGUUUUGAUUCUGAUAACGGAUGCAGGCCAUUAGUCCGCAUUUUUGGUCGAAAUCUUCUUGGCAAGAAUGCUAGCAUGACUAACAUGACUUUUUCCAUGCCAAAGAAGAAAUCUCUUCGGCACUAUCGGCAGGAGGAUUGUGAUGUGAUAAAAAUUGACAUACAAUGUCUAGUCCAGGGAGAUAUUGUUCUGGAGUGUGUACAUCUCGAUCUUGAUCCAGAGAAGGAAGUCAUGAUGUUCCGGAUAAUGUUCAAUACUGCUUUUAUACGUUCAAAUGUAUUGAUGCUGAAUAGCGAUGAUGUGGAUAUACUCUGGGGUUCAAAAGAGCGAUAUCCGAGGAAUUUUAGAGCAGAGGUGCUGUUUUGUGAAGUUGGGGGCAUAUCUCCCCCAAGGGCUCCAACAACAACACUCAAUGGUGAUGUGAAAGGUGGUUUACCAAUUGAAGCCUUUUCAGCUGUUCAAGAACUCUUCAAUGGAGUUGACUGGAUUGCAAACAGCGAUGAUGCUGCCUAUUGGUUGCUCAAAGAAUUCUCAGCAAACUCACUGCAAGAGAAAUUUCAAAAGCUUAUGCUCAAUGACAUGAAAGAGCUCUCAAGAAUUCAAGCUAAAGUUGGUCUACAGAUGCCACUGAUGUCUCCGCUUGAUUCUGAUGAAGAAAAGUAUUCUGUGGCUUCUGAUUCUGUUUCUUCAGCUGAUCAUGAGAAGGUUCAACAUGGUGGAAACUCAUCUGACUCAGAGAAUAUUGAUUGUGAUCAUACCACUGAAGAUUUUGAAUCCAGUGAUACUCUCUCAACGAACAGUUCAUCCCUGCCUCCCCAGCCUCAACCACCUGUGCCUCCUCAUAUGGAGCUACCAAGUAACAUGUCUCCAUCGUCACAACCAGUUCCACCGCCGCCGCCACCACCGCCACCGCGACAGAGUGGUAGGAAACCUGGUUCAUCUCUGUCGCCAUCACCAAGUGAGAGUAAACUUGUUCUCUCAUCGCCGUCACCUCCUCCACCACCACCGCCACCUCCACUGCCGCCACCAAGCAGUGUAGGUCCUACACAGCCUCCACCACCACCACCGCCACCGCCAAGUGGAAGAAAACAUAUUCUGUCAACACCACCACCGCCGCCACCACCACCACCUCCUCGAAUUCACAGUGUGUCUGCUUCACAGACUCCGCCCCCGCCCCCGCCCCCACCGCCACUGCCAAAUUCUGGGGCAGCAAAACAGCAAAUUUUUUGCGCAGCUCCACCGCCACCGCCACCGCCACCGCCACCUGCGGCUACAGGAAUAGCUACGCCACCCGUUCGUCCUCGUCCUCUCUCUUCUAGUAAAGCACCUACAGCUGCUUCUGGUACUCCUUCAAAAGGACCACCUCCACCUCCGCCUCUGCCUCCACCUGCUACUUCUUCAAGAACUUCUGGCCCUUCUAUUCCAUCCCCACCCCCACCCCCACCCCCACCACGCCCAGGUGCUAAUAGUAAAACUCCUCCAGCCCCACCGCCACCUCCCCUCAUGACAGGAAAGAAAGCGCCUGUGCCCCCACCUCCACCACCUCAAGCACCAAAACCUCCUGGAGUUGUGCCUCCACCACCACCACCAAGCUCAAAGAUCUCAAAUGCACCAGCACCACCUCCAUUAUUGGGAAGGGGACGUGGCAACACAACUGGACCAACUAAAGGCCGUGGCAUUGGUUUGGCACAACAAAGUAAUCCUCCCAAGAAGGCUUCACUGAAGCCUCUACAUUGGGUGAAAGUCACGAGAGCAAUGCAAGGGAGUCUCUGGGCUGAUGCCCAGAAACAAGGGAAUCAGGCUAGGUCUCCUGAUAUCGAUUUAUCCGAACUGGAGAGCUUGUUCUCCACUGCAGUUGUAACCAGCACAAGUGAAAAGGGGGCAACAAGACGUGGUUCAGCUAUUAACAAGCCAGAAAUUGUUCACCUGGUUGACAUGCGACGAGCAAACAAUUGUGAGAUAAUGCUUACGAAAAUUAAAAUGCCUCUACCUGAUAUGAUUAAUGCAAUUUUGGCUCUGGACACUUCCGUUCUUGAUAAUGACCAAGUGGAGAAUCUCAUUAAGUUUUGCCCUACAAAGGAAGAGAUCGAGAUGUUGAAGGGUUAUAAUGGCAACAAAGAAAUGCUUGGGAAAUGUGAACAGUUCUUCCUGGAGCUGAUGAAAGUUCCACGUGUAGAGGCCAAGCUAAGAGUUUUUGCUUUCAGAAUUACUUUCUCAACACAGGUAGAUGAACUAAGAACUAACCUAACCACCAUAAACGAUGCAACGAAGGAGGUCAAAGAAUCUCUGAAGUUACGGCAGAUAAUGAAGACCAUUCUCACAUUGGGGAAUGCAUUAAAUCAAGGGACAGCACGAGGAUCUGCUGUUGGCUUCAGAUUAGACAGCCUCCUUAAGCUGUCGGAUACUCGAUCUAGAAACAAUAAAAUGACGCUGAUGCAUUAUUUAUGCAAGCUUCUUGCUGAGAAAAUGCCCGAACUUCUUGAUUUUGACAAAGACCUAAUUUAUCUGGAAGCAGCUUCCAAGAUCCAACUGAAAUUGCUUGCGGAAGAAAUGCAAGCAAUAAACAAAGGUCUUGAGAAGGUGGAGCAGGAGCUAGCUGCUUCAGAAAGUGAUGGUGCGAUUUCAGUUGGCUUUCGUAAGGCAUUGAAAAGCUUUCUUGAUGCAGCAGAAGCUGAGGUUAGGUCCCUCAUUUCCUUAUACGCUGAAGUGGGAAGGAACGCUGAUUCGCUAGCUCAGUAUUUUGGUGAGGAUCCUGCACGCUGCCCGUUUGAACAAGUGACAUCAAUUUUAGUUAUUUUCGUGAAUAUGUUCAAAAAAUCACGUGAUGAAAAUGCUCGAAACGCUGAGGCUGAGAAAAAGAAACUGGAAAAGGAAAAAGAAAAGGCAAGUGUGUCUGCUAAAUAAGGUUUGGAAUGAGACUGCUGCUCUGCCAAAGUUGCAUCUUUGUGAAGCUGUCGUGCUGGACUGACAAAGAGGACCUGCAGUAUAAUUUGCGGCAGUGCAGAACCUGCUUUGAAACACCUUCUGUACGUACAGAGAUGCUGUGCCAGGAGUCUCGCUAUCUGGUUGCCAUCCAUUAAAUGGUUUCCUUUGCGAAUUCCAAGGUCUAGGAGCUUUCGUGCUCAUGUACAGUGGGAAUGUUUGAACAGAUGACUGAACAAACAUGCCCACGCCACGGCUGCUGUAGUUUUUGCGUGUAAAUAUAACAGAAACUGGAGUAUAGCUGUCUCGCCUGUACAUAAAAUUAGUCCAGGGCCCGAAGCGGGGACGAAGAAACUACACCACUGUUCAUUUUUUUCUAUAAUAACAACUGUACAAUGUUGCUGUAUUACUAAAGAGCAAACAAAUGACGAGUACAAAUCAUUUGCACUUCAUACUUUUAUCCAUUGCGAGGCAUGUAGCA
RNA transcript from Zea mays, 4607 nucleotides. It is a transcript of the gene named formin-like protein 3, with no coding region annotated. The record is from RefSeq and is a predicted model, not a curated record. The transcript has 21 exons. Lineage: Eukaryota; Viridiplantae; Streptophyta; Magnoliopsida; Poales; Poaceae.